RNAcentral lists this ribosomal RNA (417 nucleotides) under uncultured bacterium. RNAcentral describes it as "bacterial SSU rRNA". It matches the Rfam family "Bacterial small subunit ribosomal RNA", at positions 28 to 426 of the family's 1533-position model. The record is from RNAcentral.
GACGAACGCUGGCGGCGUGCCUAAUACAUGCAAGUCGAACGGUCUUUUCUAUGGAAGCUUGCUUCCGCUGAGAAGAUAGUGGCGAACGGGUGAGUAACACGUGGGUAACCUGCCCAUAAGAGGGGGAUAACAUCCGGAAACGGGUGCUAAUACCGCAUAGGUUUCUUGGUCGCAUGAUCGAGAAAGGAAGACGGCCUUUGUGCUGUCGCUUAUGGAUGGACCCGCGGCGUAUUAGUUAGUUGGUGAGGUAAUGGCUCACCAAGACGAUGAUACGUAGCCGACCUGAGAGGGUGAUCGGCCACAUUGGGACUGAGACACGGCCCAAACUCCUACGGGAGCAGCAGUAGGGAAUUUUGCACAAUGGACGCAAGUCUGAUGCAGCGACGCCGCGUGAGGGAUGGAGGCCCUUCGGGUUGU